Molecule: long non-coding RNA, 880 nt
Filed under: Nicotiana tabacum (common tobacco)
Lineage: Eukaryota; Viridiplantae; Streptophyta; Magnoliopsida; Solanales; Solanaceae
Description: long non-coding RNA (NTAB_LNC006179)
Source: RNAcentral
UGAUAUGUGAGUUGGCAUAUCUCAUAAGCCAAGAAAGGUAUUUAUCUUUCUUUUUUCAUUUUUUUGCCUUCUCUCUUCCCAUUUUGCUCAAAAAACCUCUAAUAUUUUUUGUUCUUUUCCCCUUCCCUAUUUAAAGUCUUUAUUAAAUAUAUGUAUAAUGACGACAAUGAAGAGUUAUAGUGUGGUGGAGAGCUGUGUAAAGACAAUAAAGAAUUCCUGAUGAUUUGAAUAGUCAUAACACGGUAUCAUCUUGGUCAUGUAGAAAGGCAUCCUAAUGAGUGGACUGGUUCUCCAACAUCUUUCAUCUACAAUCCUCUAUAUAUCACGGUAGCAACCGAUGAUGAUCUUGACAUCGUCAUGAAUGGUGUUUUCAGUAAGAAACUAAACUUUCCCCAGAAAAUCUCAAUUAGUAAGUUCUUAUUACUUAAUCUUUUAAGUUGAACCAUUUUUAUUGCUUCUUUAUUUAUAUUUAUCUAUAGAUAAUAUAAACCGAGAAUGGACUAAGUAUUGUGGCUUUCAAAAGGUGGAAGUGGAAGACCUGUCUGAUUCUGCUAUUAGUGUCCUAUGUGACUAUUUUAUGAAGUCAAGAAUCUAUGAGGUUAUUUUGUUUACGUAUUAUAAACUCAAAUAGCAUUGAAAUUGAAUAUUUAAUCUUUUAUCUAUAACACCUCAAUGAAAUUUAAAGUUUCUAUUGUACUUCCAAAUUAUUACUUCAUACACUUUUGUGAUUGUAUCUUUGAUUUUAUAACAUUUAGAAGGUUUAUGUAAUGUCCAGAUGGAUGAGCUAUAGCAGUGAAUGUAACUCUACCAUGGGCAAGUAGUUUUUUUCUUCAGGACUAUGAAACCUUUCUCCAUAGAUUGUUAAAUUGAUCCCUUCAAA